Long non-coding RNA from Oncorhynchus tshawytscha (Chinook salmon), 714 nucleotides. Lineage: Eukaryota; Metazoa; Chordata; Actinopteri; Salmoniformes; Salmonidae. The record is from Ensembl.
GUUCACCUUCACUGCUUAUACAGGGAGAGGCAGAGUGAGGAGCACGGGAGAGAAAGAAUAGAGAGAGGAACUUUAAAGAGAGGUGAGACAGGGAGAUUAAGAGAACGUGGGACAGCAAUUGAGAGAGACAGAUAGUGAAAGGUGACAGGGGACAGAGAGAGAGAGAGAGAGAGAGAAAGAGAGAAAGAAAGAAAGAAAGAAGUGUGUCCUUCACGCUCAUUUUGAGCACCUGUGGAGUAUAACCCUUUCUUCAAAGACAAACGUGUUGGUCAGGGGUUCACCAUGGCAACCAAGACGCUGAUGACACGGGUCCAGGAAGAGCAGUCCCACCAGAUGUCCCACAGCAUGGCGCUGGCCUCGCUGAUCAAGUAGAAAACCUUCACCUCCAGGCUGCGCAGAAGGCUUCCAUCCAUUUUAAGUAUCUGGAGGACCUGAGUCAUAAGGCCCCAGACUUCCUUAUCCCGCUAAGAGCCCACAUGGUGUGGGAGGGCAUGGGGGUCAAACUCUCUUGCACCAUCCAGGGAUGCCCACCCCCUAGGGUCACCUGUAUUCAUGCCUGAGCAUACGCAGAGCUCUGGACCAGAUGACCUGCGGCUUAUGAGUUGAACAAUCCCAGACGGGACGCAUGCAUCCCAAUGAGCUUCGAGAGUCUUGACUCGACUGAGACGGAGCUCAAGAAGAAAUGAUGGGACACCUCUGGGUGCCUAUGGCCAG